UAAAAUAUUAUAAAUUAGGUAGUAGUGAUAUAUCCGAAACCUAAAGAACUUGGCGGUGUUUUAAAUGAUCGGAGGAACCUGUUAUGUAAUUGAAAGUCCACAACAUAUCUUACCUAAUUUUUGUUUGUAUACCGUUGUUUAGGCAGUAUUUAAAAAUAUAGUCGAGGUUAAUAAAAUUCUAAAAAUCAAAUCAAGGUGCAGCAUAAUUAGGGAAUAAUGGGUUACAAUAUAUAUUAUAUAUUACGGAGGUAAGAUGAAAAAUAUCCAGAAGGAGGAUUCGAAAGUAGUAAAAUAAUUAAAAAGUUUUUAUGAAUAAUAAUUUAAAAUAUGC
This 331-nucleotide ribosomal RNA is filed under the name Scorpio palmatus. RNAcentral's name for it is "partial 12S ribosomal RNA". Lineage: Eukaryota; Metazoa; Arthropoda; Arachnida; Scorpiones; Scorpionidae. The record is from RNAcentral.